Molecule: ribosomal RNA, 300 nt
Filed under: uncultured bacterium
Lineage: Bacteria
Description: bacterial SSU rRNA
Rfam family: Bacterial small subunit ribosomal RNA
Source: RNAcentral
ACGUAAGAAUUUGCCUUUAGGAGGGGACGAACAACUGGAAACGGUUGCUAAUACCCACUAUGCUUUCGAGUGAAAUGGAUAUUUCCGCCUAGAGAGAAGCUUGCGGCUGAUUAGCUUGUUGGUGGGGUAAUGGCCUACCAAGGCGACGAUCAGUAUCUGGUUUGAGAGGACGAUCAGACACACUGGAACUGAGACACGGUCCAGACUCCUACGGGAGGCAGCAGUGGGGAAUUUUCCGCAAUGGGCGAAAGCCUGACGGAGCAAUACCGCGUGAGGGAUGACGGCCUAUGGGUUGUAAAC